GAGUUUGAUCCUGGCUCAGAUUGAACGCUGGCGGCAGGCCUAACACAUGCAAGUCGAGCGGAUGAGAGGAGCUUGCUCCUGGAUUCAGCGGCGGACGGGUGAGUAAUGCCUAGGAAUCUGCCUGGUAGUGGGGGACAACGUUUCGAAAGGAACGCUAAUACCGCAUACGUCCUACGGGAGAAAGCAGGGGACCUUCGGGCCUUGCGCUAUCAGAUGAGCCUAGGUCGGAUUAGCUAGUUGGUGAGGUAAUGGCUCACCAAGGCGACGAUCCGUAACUGGUCUGAGAGGAUGAUCAGUCACACUGGAACUGAGACACGGUCCAGACUCCUACGGGAGGCAGCAGUGGGGAA
This 350-nucleotide ribosomal RNA is filed under the name Pseudomonas sp. RNAcentral's name for it is "bacterial SSU rRNA". It matches the Rfam family "Bacterial small subunit ribosomal RNA", at positions 9 to 361 of the family's 1533-position model. Lineage: Bacteria; Pseudomonadati; Pseudomonadota; Gammaproteobacteria; Pseudomonadales; Pseudomonadaceae. The record is from RNAcentral.